GACGAACGCUGGCGGCGUGCUUAACACAUGCAAGUCGAACGGUGAAGCCCUUCGGGGUGGAUCAGUGGCGAACGGGUGAGUAACGCGUGAGCAACCUGCCCCUGGCUCUGGGACAACCACUGGAAACGGUGGCUAAUACCGGAUACGACCCGCCUCGGCAUCGAGUGUGGGUGGAAAGUUUUUCGGCUGGGGAUGGGCUCGCGGCCUAUCAGCUUGUUGGUGAGGUGAAGGCUCACCAAGGCGACGACGGGUAGCCGGCCUGAGAGGGCGACCGGCCACACUGGGACUGAGACACGGCCCAGACUCCUACGGGAGGCAGCAGUGGGGAAUAUUGCACAAUGGGCGAAAGCCUGAUGCAGCGACGCCGCGUGAGGGAUGACGGCCUUCGGGUUGUAAACCUCUUUCAGCUCCGAAGAAGCGAAAGUGACGGUAGGAGCAGAAGAAGCACCGGCUAACUACGUG
RNAcentral lists this ribosomal RNA (462 nucleotides) under uncultured bacterium. Its description in RNAcentral is "partial 16S ribosomal RNA". It matches the Rfam family "Bacterial small subunit ribosomal RNA", at positions 28 to 507 of the family's 1533-position model. The record is from RNAcentral.